GCCCUGGCUGGAUAGCUUAGCUGGUUAGAACAUCCUCUCAAUAUCCCAAGGUUGUGGGUUCGAUCCCUGGUCAGGGCACAUACAAGAAUCAACCAAUGAAUGUAUAAAUA
Myotis davidii is the source of this 110-nucleotide long non-coding RNA. RefSeq lists it as uncharacterized. The transcript has 3 exons. The record is from RefSeq and is a predicted model, not a curated record. NCBI's taxonomy places the organism in Eukaryota, Metazoa, Chordata, Mammalia, Chiroptera, Vespertilionidae.